RNAcentral lists this ribosomal RNA (799 nucleotides) under uncultured bacterium. Its description in RNAcentral is "bacterial SSU rRNA". It matches the Rfam family "Bacterial small subunit ribosomal RNA", at positions 76 to 882 of the family's 1533-position model. The record is from RNAcentral.
UUCUUCGGAAUGAAUUUGAUUUAGUUUAGUGGCGGACGGGUGAGUAACGCGUGAGUAACCUGCCUUCAAGAGGGGGAUAACAUUCUGAAAAGAAUGCUAAUACCGCAUGAUAUAUCGGAACCACAUGGUUCUGAUAUCAAAGAUUUUAUCGCUUGAAGAUGGACUCGCGUCCGAUUAGUUAGUUGGUGAGGUAACGGCUCACCAAGACCGCGAUCGGUAGCCGGACUGAGAGGUUGAACGGCCACAUUGGGACUGAGACACGGCCCAGACUCCUACGGGAGGCAGCAGUGGGGGAUAUUGCGCAAUGGGGGCAACCCUGACGCAGCAACGCCGCGUGAAGGAUGAAGGUUUUCGGAUUGUAAACUUCUUUUAUUAAGGACGAAAAAUGACGGUACUUAAUGAAUAAGCUCCGGCUAACUACGUGCCAGCAGCCGCGGUAAUACGUAGGGAGCAAGCGUUGUCCGGAUUUACUGGGUGUAAAGGGUGCGUAGGCGGCUUUGCAAGUCAGAUGUGAAAUCUAUGGGCUCAACCCAUAAACUGCAUUUGAAACUGUAGAGCUUGAGUGAAGUAGAGGCAGGCGGAAUUCCCCGUGUAGCGGUGAAAUGCGUAGAGAUGGGGAGGAACACCAGUGGCGAAGGCGGCCUGCUGGGCUUUAACUGACGCUGAGGCACGAAAGCGUGGGUAGCAAACAGGAUUAGAUACCCUGGUAGUCCACGCUGUAAACGAUGAUUACUAGGUGUGGGGGGUCUGACCCCUUCCGUGCCGGAGUUAACACAAUAAGUAAUCCACCUGGGGAGUA